GAUGAAGAACGCAGCGAAAUGCGAUACGUAAUGUGAAUUGCAGAUUUCAGUGAAUCAUCGAAUCUUUGAACGCACAUUGCGCCCGCCAGUAUUCUGGCGGGCAUGCCUGUUCGAGCGUCAUUUCAACCAUCAAGCGCCUCGCUUGUGUUGGGGCCCUGCGGCUGCCGCAGGCCCCUAAAUCCAGUGGCGGGCUCGUCGUCGUACCGAGUGCAGUAAACAUCCUCGCUCAGGGAACCCGGCGGGUGCCGGCCGUGAAACCCCCCCUCCUCAAGGUUGACCUCGGAUCAGGUAGGAAUACCCGCUGAACUUAAGCAUAUCAAUAAGCGGAGGA
Molecule: unclassified non-coding RNA, 331 nt
Filed under: soil metagenome
Description: partial contains 5.8S ribosomal RNA, internal transcribed spacer 2, and large subunit ribosomal RNA
Rfam family: 5.8S ribosomal RNA (bases 1-120)
Source: RNAcentral